RNAcentral lists this ribosomal RNA (1442 nucleotides) under bacterium ASP32. RNAcentral describes it as "partial 16S ribosomal RNA". It matches the Rfam family "Bacterial small subunit ribosomal RNA". The record is from RNAcentral.
CCCGCUGAUGGCAGGUCGUCACAAGCAGUCCUCCGAUGAUCCCCGCUUGCGGCCGGAUUACUGGCGAACGGGUGAUUAACACCUGAGUAACCUGCCCUUAACUCUGGGAUAAACCUUGUAAACGGGGUCUAAUACUGCAUAUUGACUUUUCCACUCCUGGUGUUUGGUUGAAAGAUUUAUUGGUUUUGGAUGGACUCGCCGCCUUUUUCUUGUUGGUGAGGCAAUGGCUCACCAAGGCCACUACAGCGACCCGUGCUGAGAGGGUGACCGCCCACACUGGGACUGAUGACGAUUUGAACUCCUACUCACCUUCCUCCUGGUUACCUUGCACAACGCCUAUGAGCCUGAUGCAUCGACGCCUGGUGAGGGAUGACGACCUUCGGGUUGGUUACCUCUUUCAACACGGAAUCACGCCACUGUUUAUGUCGAUGACGGUGCUUGACCAGUAAACCCCGCCUAACUACGUGCCACCGUCCCCGGUAAUUCCUAGUGCGCAAGCGUUAUCCGGAAUUAUUGUGCGUAAAGAGCUCGUAAGCGGUUUGUCGCGUCUGCUGUGAAAGUCCGGGGCUCAUCCUCUGAUCUGCGGUGCUUACGGCCAGACUACAGUGAUGUAGGGGAGACUGGAAUUCCUGGUGUAGCGAUGAAAUGCACAGAUAUCAGGACGAACACCCAUGGCGAUCGCAGGUCUCUGACCAUUAACUGACGCUGAGGAGCGAAAGCAUGCUGAGCGAACAGGAUUAGAUACACUGCCAGUCCAUGCCGUACACGUUGGGCACUACGUGUGGGGGACAUUCCACGUUUUCCGCGCCGUAGCUAUCGCAUCACUGCCCCGCCUGCGGAGUACCGCCGCACGCUAAAAAUCAAAGGAAUUAGACCGGGGACCUGCACAGCGGACGGAGCAUGCCGGAUUACUACGAUGCUUACGCGCAAGAACUUACCGAUGGCUUGUCAUGCACCCGGGAAUACUGGAACACGUGCCCCGCUUUGGGCGGCGGCUACAUGGGGGAUGCAUCGCUGUCGUCAGACUCGGGUGCGCGUAGAUGCGGCUGAAGUCCGCUACGAGCCACCUCGUUCUAUGUUAGCAGCCGUGAUGGUUGGGGACUCUAGGAACUGCCAGGUCAACUCGGAUGCACGUCGGGAGACGACCUGCGUAUGAUCAUGUCCUUAAGCUGGCUACGAUGCUCAAGGACGUCAUGCUGCUGGGUUGCGAUACUGUGAGGUGGAGCUAAUCCCAAAAAGCCGGUCUCAGUUCGGAUUGGGGUCUGCAACUCGACCCCAUGAAGUCGGAGUCGCUAGUAAUCGCAGAUCAGCAACGCUGCGGUGAAUACGUUCCCGGGCCUUGUACACACCGCUUGCUCAAGUCGUUGAAAGUUGGUAACACCCGAAGCCGGUGGCCUAACCCCCAUCUGGGUACGCGCGCUAGAGUGUCAGCGCCGGCCGGG